UACGUAGGGUGCAAGCAUUAAUCGGAAUUAUUGGGCGUAAAGGGCGCGUAGGCGGAUUGAUAAGUCAGAUGUGAAAUACCAAAGCUCAACUUUGGUGCUGCAUUUGAAACUGUCUCUCUAGAGGAUUGACGGAGAAAGCGGAAUUCCACGUGUAGCGGUGAAAUGCGUAGAUACGUGGAGGAACACCGGUGGCGAAAGCGGCUUUCUAGUUUAUACCUGACGCUGAGGCGCGAGAGCAAGGGGAGCAAACAGG
RNAcentral lists this ribosomal RNA (253 nucleotides) under uncultured bacterium. RNAcentral describes it as "partial 16S ribosomal RNA". It matches the Rfam family "Bacterial small subunit ribosomal RNA", at positions 524 to 776 of the family's 1533-position model. The record is from RNAcentral.